Molecule: ribosomal RNA, 251 nt
Filed under: uncultured bacterium
Lineage: Bacteria
Description: partial 16S ribosomal RNA
Rfam family: Bacterial small subunit ribosomal RNA
Source: RNAcentral
UACGAAGGGGGCUAGCGUUGUUCGGAAUUACUGGGCGUAAAGCGCACGUAGGCGGAUAUUUAAGUCAGGGGUGAAAUCCCAGAGCUCAACUCUGGAACUGCCUUUGAUACUGGGUAUCUUGAGUAUGGAAGAGGUAAGUGGAAUUGCGAGUGUAGAGGUGAAAUUCGUAGAUAUUCGCAGGAACACCAGUGGCGAAGGCGGCUUACUGGUCCUAACUGACGCUGAGGUGCGAAAGCGUGGGGAGCAACAGG